RNAcentral lists this ribosomal RNA (377 nucleotides) under uncultured organism. RNAcentral's name for it is "partial 16S ribosomal RNA". It matches the Rfam family "Bacterial small subunit ribosomal RNA", at positions 527 to 896 of the family's 1533-position model. The record is from RNAcentral.
GUAGGUGGCAAGCGUUGUCCGGAAUUAUUGGGCGUAAAGCGCGCGCAGGCGGUUCUUUAAGUCUGAUGUGAAAGCCCACGGCUCAACCGUGGAGGGUCAUUGGAAACUGGAGAACUUGAGUACAGAAGAGGAAAGCGGAAUUCCACGUGUAGCGGUGAAAUGCGUAGAGAUGUGGAGGAACACCAGUGGCGAAGGCGGCUUUCUGGUCUAUAACUGACGCUGAGGCGCGAAAGCGUGGGGAGCAAACAGGGAUUAGAUACCCUGGUAGUCCACGCCGUAAACGAUGAGUGCUAAGUGUUAGGGGGGUUUUCCGCCCCCUUAGUGCUGCAGCUAACGCAUUAAGCACCCCCGGCCUGGGGAGUACGGCCGCAAGGCUG